AGGGGCGAGCUCAGUGGUAGAGCGCAUGCUUAGCACGCACGAGGUCCUGGGUUCAAUCCCUAGUGUACCUC
Transfer RNA from Camelus ferus (Wild Bactrian camel), 71 nucleotides. It matches the Rfam family "tRNA". Rfam says of the family: Transfer RNA (tRNA) molecules are approximately 80 nucleotides in length. Their secondary structure includes four short double-helical elements and three loops (D, anti-codon, and T loops). Lineage: Eukaryota; Metazoa; Chordata; Mammalia; Artiodactyla; Camelidae. The record is from Rfam.